This 69-nucleotide transfer RNA is filed under the name Typhlatya monae. RNAcentral's name for it is "tRNA-Pro". It matches the Rfam family "tRNA". From Rfam's summary of the family: Transfer RNA (tRNA) molecules are approximately 80 nucleotides in length. Their secondary structure includes four short double-helical elements and three loops (D, anti-codon, and T loops). The record is from RNAcentral. Lineage: Eukaryota; Metazoa; Arthropoda; Malacostraca; Decapoda; Atyidae.
CAGAAAAUAGUUUAAUAAAAAAAAUGUUAGUUUUGGGAACUGGCGAUGGAAGGUGGUUUUCUUUUCUGA